GGACGGUCCCAGGCUGAUCCCCGGACGAGCAAUCCUGGAACCAGUCCCGGCCUCAGCGCUGACUCCGGCAUUCCCACAUUCCCGGAUUCCUGGUAUUCCCGGAUUCCUGGUAUUCCCGGAUUCCUGGUAUUCCCGCAUUCCCGGAUUCCCGCAUUCCCAUAUUCCGGCAUUCCCGGAUUCCCGGAUUCCUGGUAUUCCUGGAUUCCCGGAUUCCUGGUAUUCCCGCAUUCCCACAUUCCCGCAUUCCCGCAUUCCCGCAUUCCUGGAUUCCUGGUAUUCCCGGAUUCCUGGCAUUCCCACAUUCCCGGAUUCCCGGAUUCCUGGAUUCCUGGUAUUCCCGCAUUCCCACAUUCCCGCAUUCCCGCAUUCCCGGAUUCCGGCAUUCCUGGAUUCCUGGAUUCCUGGUAUUCCCAGAUUCCCGGUAUUCCCGCAUUCCCGGAUUCCUGGUAUUCCCGGAUUCCUGGCAUUCCCACAUUCCUGGAUUCCUGCGUUCCCGGAUUCCCGGAUUCCUGGUAUUCCCGUAUUCCCGGAUUCCUGGAUUCCUGGUAUUCCCGCGUUCCCGCAUUCCCGGAUUCCCACAUUCCCGCAUUCCUGGAUUCCCACAUUCCCGCAUUCCCGGAUCCCCGCAUUCCCGCAUUCCCGGAUUCCCCCAUUCCCACAUUCCCACAUUCCCGCAUUCCCGGAUUCCCGGAUUCCCAUGUUCCCGGAUUCCCGGAUUCCUGGCAUUCCCACAUUCCCGGAUCCCCCCAUUCCCGCAUUCCCGGAUUCCCGGAUUCCCAGAUUCCUGGCAUUCCCGGAUUCCCGGAUCCCCGCGUUCCCACGUUCCCGCAUUCCCACAUUCCCGCAUUCCCGCAUUCCCCCAUUCCCGCAUUCCCGGAUUCCUGGCAUUCCCGCAUUCCCACAUUCCCGCGUUCCCGCAUUCCCGGAUUCCCAGAUUCCUGGCAUUCCCGCAUUCCCACAUUCCCACAUUCCCGCGUUCCCGGAGUCAGCAGGAGCUGGCCUGCAGGCUGGCCUCGCUCAGCAGGGAGGCGAUGCCGGCGGAUCCGAGUUCCUCAUCCGAGCUCAGCCGCUCGUCCCGCAGCGCCGAGUCCACGGCGCGGCGCCUGCC
This 1108-nucleotide long non-coding RNA is filed under the name Lonchura striata (white-rumped munia). Its description in RNAcentral is "domestica (Bengalese finch) lncRNA (ENSLSDG00000001878.1)". The record is from RNAcentral. Lineage: Eukaryota; Metazoa; Chordata; Aves; Passeriformes; Estrildidae.